Dioscorea cayenensis subsp. rotundata (Guinea yam) is the source of this 414-nucleotide long non-coding RNA. RefSeq lists it as uncharacterized. The record is from RefSeq and is a predicted model, not a curated record. The transcript is spliced from 2 exons. Lineage: Eukaryota; Viridiplantae; Streptophyta; Magnoliopsida; Dioscoreales; Dioscoreaceae.
CAAAACAAAGAAAAGCCUUUCUCUUUCAUAGAACUGCCCAUUCCUUGGCUUCCUUCAUCGUUGGCUGAACAAAAUCCUUCCUUUUCCAAUGGAGAAUAGCACUUUGAAGACAAUGGAUCCGGAGCAGCUGAGGGAGUAUGGUCAUAAAAUGGUGGAUUUCAUUGUGGAUUCCUAUAAAAUCGAUUGAAUCUUCUUUCCCUGUUCGUAGCCAAGUUUAAGGUAAGUGUGGCAAGUAUAAUAAAUAAGAUAUAAAAACCAGAUUAAAACACCUUCUAUUGUUGUUAAAUCUUCCAUUUCCUUUCAUGGUGAUGCUGUCUGUUUUAAUUUAUAAUCUGUGUUGGCUUGAAGCCUUAAACAAUGAAAUCUUUAGCUAAUUAUUUGUGAAAUUUGAUACUAUGCAUCAUUUUUAUUGUA